AGUAAAAUGACUGAUUUAAGGUGAUAAAUUGUAAAUUUAUUUAUAAGAAAAUUUUCUUUUUUACUA
Molecule: transfer RNA, 66 nt
Filed under: Adicella ragma
Lineage: Eukaryota; Metazoa; Arthropoda; Insecta; Trichoptera; Leptoceridae
Description: tRNA-Tyr
Source: RNAcentral